GACGAACGCUGGCGGCGUGCUUAACACAUGCAAGUCGAGCGGUAAGGCCCUUUCGGGGGUACACGAGCGGCGAACGGGUGAGUAACACGUGGGUGACCUGCCCUUAGCUCUGGGAUAAGCCUGGGAAACUGGGUCUAAUACCGGAUAUGACUCCAUGACGCAUGUUGUGGGGUGGAAAGCCUUGUGCGGCUAGGGAUGGGCCCGCGGCCUAUCAGCUUGUUGGUGGGGUGAUGGCCUACCAAGGCGACGACGGGUAGCCGGCCUGGGAGGGCGACCGGCCACACUGGGACUGAGACACGGCCCAGACUCCUACGGGAGGCAGCAGUGGGGAAUCUUGCGCAAUGGGCGAAAGCCUGACGCAGCGACGCCGCGUGAGGGAUGACGGCCUCGG
This 391-nucleotide ribosomal RNA is filed under the name uncultured bacterium. RNAcentral's name for it is "bacterial SSU rRNA". It matches the Rfam family "Bacterial small subunit ribosomal RNA", at positions 28 to 420 of the family's 1533-position model. The record is from RNAcentral.